AUUAAACGCUGGCGGCAUGCCUUACACAUGCAAGUCGAACGGCAGCACGGGGGCAACCCUGGUGGCGAGUGGCGGACGGGUGAGUAAAGCAUCGGAACGUAUCCUGGAGUGGGGGAUAACGUAGCGAAAGUUACGCUAAUACCGCAUAUUCUGUGAGCAGGAAAGCAGGGGAUCGCAAGACCUUGCGCUCUGGGAGCGGCCGAUGUCGGAUUAGCUAGUUGGUGGGUAAAGGCCUACCAAGGCGACGAUCCGUAGCGGGUCUGAGAGGAUGAUCCGCCACACUGGGACUGAGACACGGCCCAGACUCCUACGGGAGGCAGCAGUGGGGAAUUCUGGACAAUGGGCGGAAGCCUGAUCCAGCCAUGCCGCGUGAGUGAAGAAGGCC
Molecule: ribosomal RNA, 385 nt
Filed under: uncultured bacterium
Lineage: Bacteria
Description: bacterial SSU rRNA
Rfam family: Bacterial small subunit ribosomal RNA
Source: RNAcentral